GGAUUCCCCUAGUAACUGCGAGUGAACCGGGAAAAGCUCAAAUUUUGAAUCUGGCGGUCUUUGGGCCGUCCGAGUUGUAAUCUAGAGAAGCGUCUUCCGCGUUGGACCGUGUAUAAGUUUCCUGGAAUGGAACGUCGUAGAGGGUGACAAUCCCGUCUUUGACACGGACUCCCAGGGCUAUGUGAUGCGCUCUCGACGAGUCGAGUUGUUUGGGAAUGCAGCUCAAAUAGGGUGGUAAAUUCCAUCUAAAGCUAAAUACAGGCGAGAGACCGAUAGCGAACAAGUACCGUGAGGGAAAGAUGAAAAGAACUUUGGAAAGAGAGUUAAACAGUACGUGAAAUUGCUGAAAGGGAAACGCUUGAUGUCAGUCGCAUCGUCCGGGGAUCAGCCUCGCUUUUUUUGCUCGGCGUACUUCCUGGUCGAUGGGUCAGCAUCGGUUUCGAUCGUCGGAAAAUGGCUCGAGGAACGUGGCACUCUUCGGGGUGUGUUAUAGACUCGAGUCGAAUGCGACGCUUGGGACCGAGGAACUCAGCACGACCUUCGGGUUCGGGGCUUCGGCUCACGUUCGCGUGCUUAGGAUGCUGGCAUAAUGGCCUUAAGCGACCCGUCUUGAAACACGGACCAAGGAGUCUAACUCGCGUGCGAGUGUUUGGGUGAUCAAAACCCGGGCGCGUAAUGAAAGUGAAAGUCGAGACCUCUGUCGU
This 704-nucleotide ribosomal RNA is filed under the name Suillus latteri. RNAcentral describes it as "partial large subunit ribosomal RNA". It matches the Rfam family "Eukaryotic large subunit ribosomal RNA", at positions 72 to 750 of the family's 3401-position model. Lineage: Eukaryota; Fungi; Basidiomycota; Agaricomycetes; Boletales; Suillaceae. The record is from RNAcentral.